GCCGUAGUGGCUCAGUGGUAGAGCACCUCCUUGGUAAGGAGGAGAUCGAGAGUUCAAUUCUCUCCUACGGCU
Molecule: transfer RNA, 72 nt
Filed under: Chitinophagaceae bacterium
Lineage: Bacteria; Pseudomonadati; Bacteroidota; Chitinophagia; Chitinophagales; Chitinophagaceae
Also listed under: 1 other name
Description: tRNA-Thr
Rfam family: tRNA
About the family: Transfer RNA (tRNA) molecules are approximately 80 nucleotides in length. Their secondary structure includes four short double-helical elements and three loops (D, anti-codon, and T loops).
Source: RNAcentral